GGUUAAGCUACUAAGAGCACACGGUGGAUGCCUAGGCGCUAGGAGCCGAUGAAGGACGUGGCGAACAACGAUAAGGCCUCGGGGAGCUGUAAGCAAGCUGUGAUCCGGGGAUGUCCGAAUGGGGAAACCUAACUGGAUUCAUCUCCAGUUACUCACACCUGAAUACAUAGGGUGUGCAGAGGCAGACGAGGGGAACUGAAACAUCUAAGUACCCUCAGGAACAGAAAACAAGAGUGAUUCCGUCAGUAGCGGCGAGCGAACGCGGAACAGCCCAAACCAAUGAGCUUGCUUGUUGGGGUUGUGGGACGUCUCUUUGGAGUUACAAAGGAAGAUGGUAGGCGAAGAGGUCUGGAAAGGCCCGCAAGACAAGGUGAAAGCCCUGUAGCUAAAAUCAUCUUCUCUCCGAGACGGAUCCCGAGUAGUGCGGGGCACGUGAAACCCCGUAUGAAUCUGCCAGGACCAUCUGGUAAGGCUAAAUACUCCCUAGCGACCGAUAGUGAAGCAGUACCGUGAGGGAAAGGUGAAAAGGACCCCGGAAGGGGAGUGAAAUAGAACCUGAAACCGUGUGCUUACAAAAAGUCAGAGCCCUAUUACUGGGUGAUGGCGUGCCUUUUGUAGAAUGAACCGGCGAGUUACGUUCCCGUGCAAGGUUAAGGUGAAAAGCCGGAGCCGCAGCGAAAGCGAGUCUGAAUAGGGCGACUGAGUACGUGGACGUAGACCCGAAACCAGGUGAUCUACCCCUGUCCAGGGUGAAGGUACGGUAACACGUACUGGAGGCCCGAACCCACGCACGUUGAAAAGUGCGGGGAUGAGGUGGGGGUAGCGGAGAAAUUCCAAUCGAACCUGGAGAUAGCUGGUUCUCCCCGAAAUAGCUUUAGGGCUAGCCUCGGAAGUUGAGUCGUGGAGGUAGAGCACUGAUUGGAUGCGGGGCCCGCAAGGGUUACCAAGUUCAGUCAAACUCCGAAUGCCACAGACUUUAUUCCGGGAGUCAGACAGUGAGUGCUAAGAUCCAUUGUCGAAAGGGAAACAGCCCAGACCAUCAGCUAAGGUCCCCAAGUGUGUGUUAAGUGGGAAAGGAUGUGAAGUUGCACAGACAACCAGGAUGUUGGCUUAGAAGCAGCCACCAUUGAAAGAGUGCGUAAUAGCUCACUGGUCGAGUGACUUUGCGCCGAAAAUGUAACGGGGCUAAACACACCACCGAAGCUAUGGCUUGAUACUUUGUAUCAGGGGUAGGGGAGCGUUGAAUGAAGAUUGAAGGUGUACCGCAAGGAGCGCUGGACCUCAUUCAAGUGAGAAUGCCGGUAUGAGUAACGAAAAGAUCAGUGAGAAUCUGAUCCGCCGAAAACCCAAGGAUUCCUGAGGAAGGCUCGUCCUCUCAGGGUAAGUCGGGACCUAAGGCGAGGCCGAAAGGCGUAGUCGACGGACAACAGGUUGAAAUUCCUGUACCACCGAAAGCCGUUAUGAGCAAUGGGAUGACGCAGGAGGAUAGUGACGCGGACUGAUGGAUGUCCGUUCAAGCAGUGAGGCUGGUAUGUAGGCAAAUCCGCAUACCCCAAGGCCAGGCUGUGAUGAGGAGCGAAAAUUACAGUAGCGAAGGUCAUGAUUUCACACUGCCAAGAAAAGUCUCUAGCCAGGAAGCAGGUGCCCGUACCGUAAACCGACACAGGUGGGUGAGAAGAGAAUUCUAAGGCGCGCGGAAGAACUCUCGUUAAGGAACUCGGCAAAAUGACCCCGUAACUUCGGGAGAAGGGGUGCCCCGGUAGUGUGAAUAGCACGAGGGGGCCGCAGUGAAAAGGCCCAAGCGACUGUUUAGCAAAAACACAGGUCUGUGCGAAGCCGCAAGGCGAAGUAUACGGGCUGACGCCUGCCCGGUGCUGGAAGGUUAAGGGGAGUGGUUAGCGCAAGCGAAGCUAUGAACCGAAGCCCCAGUAAACGGCGGCCGUAACUAUAACGGUCCUAAGGUAGCGAAAUUCCUUGUCAGGUAAAUUCUGACCCGCACGAAUGGCGUAACGAUUUGGGCGCUGUCUCAACGAGAGAUCCGGUGAAAUUUUAAUACCUGUGAAGAUGCAGGUUACCCGCGACAAGACGGAAAGACCCCAUGGAGCUUUACUGCAACUUGAUAUUGAACUGGGGUGCGAUUUGUACAGGAUAGGUGGGAGCCGUAGACAUCGGAGCGCAAGCUUCGGUUGAGGCGCCGUUGGGAUACCACCCUGAUCGCAUUUGAGUUCUAACCUCGUACCGUGAUCCGGUACAGGGACCGUGUCAGGUGGGCAGUUUGACUGGGGCGGUCGCCUCCUAAAGUGUAACGGAGGCGCCCUAAGGUUCCCUCAGAAUGGUUGGAAAUCAUUCGAAGAGUGUAAAGGCAUAAGGGAGCUUGACUGCGAGACAGACACGUCGAGCAGGGACGAAAGUCGGGCUUAGUGAUCCGGUGGUACCGCAUGGAAGGGCCAUCGCUCAACGGAUAAAAGCUACCCUGGGGAUAACAGGCUUAUCUCCCCCAAGAGUCCACAUCGACGGGGAGGUUUGGCACCUCGAUGUCGGCUCAUCGCAUCCUGGGGCUGAAGUAGGUCCCAAGGGUUGGGCUGUUCGCCCAUUAAAGCGGUACGCGAGCUGGGUUCAGAACGUCGUGAGACAGUUCGGUCCCUAUCUGUCGUGGGCGUAGGAAAUUUGAGAGGAGCUGUCCUUAGUACGAGAGGACCGGGAUGGACGCACCGCUGGUGUACCAGUUGUUCCGCCAGGAGCAUCGCUGGGUAGCUACGUGCGGAAGGGAUAAGCGCUGAAAGCAUCUAAGCGUGAAGCCCCCCUCAAGAUGAGAUUUCCCAGUAUGUAAGACCCCUUGUAGACGACGAGGUUGAUAGGUUGGGGGUGGAAGUGCCGCAAGGCAUGGAGCUGACCAAUACUAAUCGGUCGAGGGCUUAUCCAA
This 2923-nucleotide ribosomal RNA is filed under the name Paenibacillus kyungheensis. RNAcentral describes it as "23S ribosomal RNA". It matches the Rfam family "Bacterial large subunit ribosomal RNA". The record is from RNAcentral. Lineage: Bacteria; Bacillati; Bacillota; Bacilli; Caryophanales; Paenibacillaceae.